CAAUAUGUUAUAAGGGUUUAUCGGAAUAUCGCGUACCCACCUUUGGCCCGACCAUCCUGCCCACGGAUUAGUCCCAGUUGCUACACCAGCCCAAGUCUAGCGAUUCAAAUGCGGGUAGACAUCGGCGUGAGCAUAAUCCCCGGAAUCAAAA
Long non-coding RNA from Diprion similis, 151 nucleotides. RefSeq lists it as uncharacterized. The record is from RefSeq and is a predicted model, not a curated record. Lineage: Eukaryota; Metazoa; Arthropoda; Insecta; Hymenoptera; Diprionidae. The transcript has 3 exons.